AGUGAACGCUGGCGGUAUGCCUAACACAUGCAAGUCGAACGGCAGCACAGUAAGUUCUUGCUCGUACGGGGUGGCAGUCGCGUACGUGAGAGGAAUACACCUGAAUCGACGUUUGGGUGAGGGAUGAGAAAGGGGAACUAACGCCAAUACCGCACACCAGCUGCGAGUGAAAGCAGUUCAGCUUCGGACCUUGCGCGAUUGAAGGAGCCGAUGUCGGAAUAGCUAGUUGGCGGGGUAAAGGCCCACCAAGGCGACGAUCCGUAGCUGGUCUGAGAGGAUGAUCAGCCACACUGGAACUGAGACACGGUCCAGACUCCUACGGGAGGCAGCAGUGGGGAAUUUUGGACAAUGGGCGAAAGCCUGAUCCAGCCAUACCGCGUGGGUGAAGAAGGCCUUCGGGUUGUAAAGCACUUUUGUUCGGAAAGAAAAGCAGCAGGUUAAUACGGCGGUGUUAUGACGGUACCGGAAGAAUAAGCACCGGCUAACUUCGUG
This 492-nucleotide ribosomal RNA is filed under the name uncultured bacterium. RNAcentral's name for it is "partial 16S ribosomal RNA". It matches the Rfam family "Bacterial small subunit ribosomal RNA", at positions 29 to 507 of the family's 1533-position model. The record is from RNAcentral.